GUCCUGGCGCCCUCCCUUCCAGGCCUGGGCCUCGCGUGGGCCUCCUCUCCCGGGUGUUUGGGCCUGGCCUCCCUCAGGGACUCCGACACAUCAUACUGCUGAGCUGAGCUGGAGGUAAUACGAGGCUGCAACACAUCCACUGCUCCCCAUUCAGGAGCAAAGGAAGGGCGGGAAGGAUGUAAGUACCCUCCGGAGGCAGGAAGAGGAGGGCAGAGGGGCCUGCAAAGAAAGGUAACUUCUGAACAAGUUCUGCGAAGAACAUCUUGUGAGAGUUUUGCCCGAGGAGUGCUCUAAGUCUAAAGUGAAUUCAAGAUGCACAGCAAUGACAACAAGAAGAAAUAAGUAGUAGAAAAAUACAUUUCAAGCUAAAUGCCUGUGCAAUUAUAAGGGGGGAAAUAAGAUUGUGCCUGAGAAAGAGACACUUGCUGAAAGUGAGAAGAAUGCUAAAGUAAUACAAAGACUAUGCUGUUCGGGAGGUUAUAUCUGUGAACCCCUGGCAUGAUAUU
RNAcentral lists this long non-coding RNA (506 nucleotides) under Anolis carolinensis (green anole). RNAcentral's name for it is "lncRNA (ENSACAG00000044194.1)". The record is from RNAcentral. Lineage: Eukaryota; Metazoa; Chordata; Lepidosauria; Squamata; Anolidae.